Gopherus flavomarginatus (Mexican gopher tortoise) is the source of this 302-nucleotide long non-coding RNA. RefSeq lists it as uncharacterized. The record is from RefSeq and is a predicted model, not a curated record. Lineage: Eukaryota; Metazoa; Chordata; Testudines; Testudinidae. The transcript is spliced from 3 exons.
GCCAGCACACAGAGGGAACACACACACGCAGCUGACUGUUAUCAACAUUGAACAGAGCAGAGCACCAUACCGGUGACAUGUGGCAACACUGGUGACCACAACUGCUGAUCUGCCAGGAUAAAAACCAGGGGCCCAGUUCCCAACUCUGCAGAUUCCCAACUGCUUUGACCCACUGAACCACACACUGGGCUCAUAUCUAAAAAGGUUUCCACCUUUGGCUCCCAGACACAACAAAGCAUCAUGAAAGUUUAAUACCUUCAAAGUAUUUGCAUGGACCUAUAUUAAAAUCUAUUUUGGUUUAA